This 421-nucleotide ribosomal RNA is filed under the name uncultured bacterium. RNAcentral's name for it is "bacterial SSU rRNA". It matches the Rfam family "Bacterial small subunit ribosomal RNA", at positions 355 to 773 of the family's 1533-position model. The record is from RNAcentral.
UAAGGAAUAUUGGUCAAUGGACGCAAGUCUGAACCAGCCAUGCCGCGUGGAGGAUUAAGGCCCUCUGGGUUGUAAACUCCUUUUAUCUGGGAAGAAAUGCAUUUUUUCUAAAGUGCUUGACGGUACCAGAGGAAUAAGCACCGGCUAACUCCGUGCCAGCAGCCGCGGUAAUACGGAGGGUGCAAGCGUUAUCCGGAUUCACUGGGUUUAAAGGGUGCGUAGGCGGGCAGGUAAGUCCGUGGUGAAAUCUCUGAGCUUAACUCAGAAACUGCCAUGGAUACUAUUUGUCUUGAAUAUUGUGGAGGUAAGCGGAAUAUGUCAUGUAGCGGUGAAAUGCUUAGAUAUGACAUAGAACACCAAUUGCGAAGGCAGCUUACUACACAGUUAUUGACGCUGAGGCACGAAAGCGUGGGGAUCAAAC